GAUACCAUGAGAGUCGAGCGGUAACAGGGGUAGCUUGCUACCCGCUGACGAGCGGCGGACGGGUGAGUAAUGCAUAGGAAUCUGCCCGGUAGUGGGGGAUAACCUGGGGAAACCCAGGCUAAUACCGCAUACGUCCUACGGGAGAAAGGGGGCUCCGGCUCCCGCUAUUGGAUGAGCCUAUGUCGGAUUAGCUAGUUGGUGAGGUAAAGGCUCACCAAGGCAACGAUCCGUAGCUGGUCUGAGAGGAUGAUCAGCCACAUCGGGACUGAGACACGGCCCGAACUCCUACGGGAGGCAGCAGUGGGGAAUAUUGGACAAUGGGGGCAACCCUGAUCCAGCCAUGCCGCGUGUGUGAAGAAGGCCCUCGGGUUGUAAAGCACUUUCAGCGAGGAAGAACGCCUAGUGGUUAAUACCCAUUAGGAAAGACAUCACUCGCAGAAGAAGCACCGGCUAACUCCGUGCCAGCAGCCGCGGUAAUACGGAGGGUGCAAGCGUUAAUCGGAAUUACUGGGCGUAAAGCGCGCGUAGGUGGCU
RNAcentral lists this ribosomal RNA (534 nucleotides) under Vreelandella zhaodongensis. RNAcentral's name for it is "bacterial SSU rRNA". It matches the Rfam family "Bacterial small subunit ribosomal RNA", at positions 50 to 580 of the family's 1533-position model. Lineage: Bacteria; Pseudomonadati; Pseudomonadota; Gammaproteobacteria; Oceanospirillales; Halomonadaceae. The record is from RNAcentral.